RNAcentral lists this transfer RNA (90 nucleotides) under Elusimicrobiota bacterium. Its description in RNAcentral is "Elusimicrobia bacterium (groundwater metagenome) tRNA-Ser". It matches the Rfam family "tRNA". Rfam says of the family: Transfer RNA (tRNA) molecules are approximately 80 nucleotides in length. Their secondary structure includes four short double-helical elements and three loops (D, anti-codon, and T loops). Further hydrogen bonds mediate the characteristic L-shaped molecular structure. tRNAs have two regions of fundamental functional importance: the anti-codon, which is responsible for specific mRNA codon recognition, and the 3' end, to which the tRNAs corresponding amino acid is attached (by aminoacyl-tRNA synthetases). tRNAs cope with the degeneracy of the genetic code in two manners: having more than one tRNA (with a specific anti-codon) for a particular amino acid; and 'wobble' base-pairing, i.e. permitting non-standard base-pairing at the 3rd anti-codon position. Lineage: Bacteria; Pseudomonadati; Elusimicrobiota. The record is from RNAcentral.
GGAAGGGUGCGUGAGCGGUUGAAACGAGCACUCUCGAAAAGUGCCAGGGAUGCAAGUCCCUCGUGGGUUCGAAUCCCACCCCUUCCGCCA